UGAAUACGAGAUGCUACGGCAUUGAAGCAGUCUAUGUCAGACUUCCAAGAAAAGCUCGCAAUGUCAUAAACAAUUAAUGCCUGUACCAUAACCGACACAGGUGGGUAGGUAGAGUAUACUAAGGGGCGCGAGAUAACUCUCUCUAAGGAACUCGGCAAAAUGACUCCGUAACUUCGGGAGAAGGAGUGCCUUAUUUUAUAAGGUUGCAAUAACAAGAUCCAAGCAACUGUUUACCAAAAACACAGGUCUCCGCUAAGUCGUAAGACGAUGUAUGGGGGCUGACGCCUGCCCAGUGCCAGAAGGUUAAAGAAGUUGGUUAGCCUAGCGAAGCUGAUGACUGAAGCCCUGGUGAACGGCGGCCGUAACAAUAACGGUCCUAAGGUAGCGAAAUUCCUUGUCGGGUAAGUUCCGACCCGCACGAAAGGCGUAAUGAUUUGGAUACUGUCUCGGAGAGGGGCUCGGUGAAAUAGACUUGUCUGUGAAGAUGCGGACUACCUGCACCUGGACAGAAAGACCCUAUGAAGCUUUACUGUAACUUGAGAUUGAAAUUGGACUUUAUUUGCGCAGUAUAGGUGGGAGACGUUGAGAAUAUUCUUGCGGGAAUAUUGGAGUCAUCAGUGAGAUACCACUCUUGUAAUGUUAGAUUUCUAACUUUGAAUCAUUAUCUGGUCAAAGAACAGUCUCAGGCGGGCAGUUUGACUGGGGCGGUCGCCUCCUAAACGGUAACGGAGGCGCACAAAGGUUUCCUCUGAACGUGUAGAAAUCGUAUCUAGAGUGUAAAGGCAUAAGGAAGCUUGACUGUGAGACCUACAAGUCGAGCAGGGACGAAAGUCGGUCUUAGUGAUCUGACGGUGCUGAGUGGAAAGGCCGUCACUCAACGGAUAAAAGUUACUCUAGGAUAACAGGCUGAUCUCCCCCAAGAGUUCACAUCGACGGGGAGGUUUGGCACCUUGAUGUCGGCUCAUCGCAUCCUGGGGCGGUAGUACGUCCCAAGGGUUGGGCUGUUCGCCCAUGAAAGCGGUACGCGAGCUGGGUUCAGAACGUCGUGAGACAGUUCGGUCCAUAUCCGGUGUAGGCGUUAGAAUAUUGAGAGGAGCCUUCUUUAGUACGAGAGGACCGAGAAGGACAUACCUCUGGUGUACCAGUUAUCGUGCCAACGGUAAACGCUGGGUAGCUAUGUAUGGAGUGGAUAACCGCUGAAAGCAUCU
This 1208-nucleotide ribosomal RNA is filed under the name metagenome. Its description in RNAcentral is "bacterial LSU rRNA". It matches the Rfam family "Bacterial large subunit ribosomal RNA", at positions 1564 to 2782 of the family's 2925-position model. The record is from RNAcentral.